AUGCAAGCUUCAGGAAGGCAAAUGAAAAUAUUUUUGAUUGUGAGUUUUCAGUCUGAGGCUCAGGCUCUGGUUUUAAUGCAUCCUGGAGUCAGUAACUCCCUCCAUAUGUUGCUUUUUGUUAGAGGUAUGCUUGCUUUAAUGCAGGCAGGGAUGCGGGGUUGGGUGGCUGAUGAGUCAGGAAAUGUUCAAAAGGAAAGGCAAGCAUUCAUUCAGUCAUUCACAUCAUCUUCUCUCCAAUUUCAAGGGGCACGUUCAUCCUGUGCCAUGUGCAGCUUCUAGAACAGAGGGCCAAAUUGGCCCAAAUGUCUAAAAUCCUUUUAGUUGAAUCCAUUAUACUAAUAUCUGACAAUUAUGAACUAAGUCUCAUUUAACAUGCUUAGAUGCUCUCACUUAAAAGGCAAUAAUUACUGAAAAAGAGUGAGUUGUAUAAACCUGUUUCCGAGCACGUUGGUUGACAAGACACCCCACUGGUUAUAAUGCAACCAUCAGGCAGAGCUUUUUAUAUUUAAUGUUGAACAAAUUAUCCUUCAUAAAUGGCAGAUUGAGGAUUCUCACUGUCAAUCUUGCUUUCCAUUCGGCUACAUUUCCAUUUCACAGAACAUCUUGAAUCUAGCUGAGGGAGGUCCCUAAAAAUAUAGAGCAAAAAUAAAUGCAAAAGGAAGAAGUCUAAUAAGAAACUCUAUGCUAAGUCAAUAACAAUUAGGUAUCUUUUCCGUGAAAAUUCCCUCAAAUGAAGAUUUCCAAAACCCUAUGGUCAGUGUGUGCCUCUGCAUCCAUGGCAAGAGUAGCAAGAGGAAUGGGGUUGGGAAGACUUGUGUUUGCACUAUAUCAUGUGUCUCUCAUUGCAAAAACAUAUAGGAUAUAAAGCUGCAAUGCAUUGUAAAGGUCAUCUAAUCUGACUCACUGUGGAAAUUUCCAUUCAAAUGGAAAUUCAAACUCCAUGUGAUUACUCUUCAUUAAUGCAUCACCCAAGGCCUCCUGAAAGGAGUCCUUUGCAUUGCUGGGCCGCUGUCUCCCCAAAUUCUUAAUUAGGAGCCCCAACCUAGAGACCUUUAAUUUCUAUCCAUUUGCCCCUCCAGAGAAACUUACCCCAACUGAUUUUGCACUAUAAACCUCUUAAAAUAUAAAAUUAAAUCAUAACAUCAUUUUAUGAAGAAUAAGAUAAAAAGUAAUUUUAAGUGGCUCUUCCAUUUUUUAAAAUGGAUAUUAUUAAACAUUUUGUUAGAAAGUUUGUUUUAUUAUAAUCAGAAAUACAGAGCAAACAUGUAAAGACAAAUUUUUAUUUUUUCCCUGUUUAUCAAGUUCUAAACAUGAUUUACUUUAAUCAUGUGAAAAAUGCAUUCAAGUUAGCUUGUAUAUAGUUUGCAAAAGAAUGCAUCUUGAACUAGAUUAUAGAUUUUAGUAUCUGUUUCAAUAUCAAGAAUAUUGCUUCCUAGGGGCUGGAGAUACAAUGAUGAACAAUUUGCAGAGCCAGUCUUCAUCCCCAGAGAUUCUGAUUCAGUUUGUUCAGGAAUGAGGCUCUAG
Molecule: long non-coding RNA, 1524 nt
Filed under: Canis lupus familiaris (dog)
Lineage: Eukaryota; Metazoa; Chordata; Mammalia; Carnivora; Canidae
Description: lncRNA (ENSCAFG00040012926.1)
Source: RNAcentral